This 3007-nucleotide ribosomal RNA is filed under the name Salmonella enterica subsp. enterica serovar Ohio. RNAcentral describes it as "23S ribosomal RNA". It matches the Rfam family "Bacterial large subunit ribosomal RNA". Lineage: Bacteria; Pseudomonadati; Pseudomonadota; Gammaproteobacteria; Enterobacterales; Enterobacteriaceae. The record is from RNAcentral.
GGUUAAGCGACUAAGCGUACACGGUGGAUGCCCUGGCAGUCAGAGGCGAUGAAGGACGUGCUAAUCUGCGAUAAGCGCCGGUAAGGUGAUAUGAACCGUUAUAACCGGCGAUUUCCGAAUGGGGAAACCCAGUGUGACUCGUCACACUAUCAUUAACUGAAUCCAUAGGUUAAUGAGGCGAACCGGGGGAACUGAAACAUCUAAGUACCCCGAGGAAAAGAAAUCAACCGAGAUUCCCCCAGUAGCGGCGAGCGAACGGGGAGGAGCCCAGAGCCUGAAUCAGCAUGUGUGUUAGUGGAAGCGUCUGGAAAGGCGCGCGAUACAGGGUGACAGCCCCGUACACAAAAGCGCAUGUGCUGUGAGCUCGAUGAGUAGGGCGGGACACGUGGUAUCCUGUCUGAAUAUGGGGGGACCAUCCUCCAAGGCUAAAUACUCCUGACUGACCGAUAGUGAACCAGUACCGUGAGGGAAAGGCGAAAAGAACCCCGGCGAGGGGAGUGAAAAAGAACCUGAAACCGUGUACGUACAAGCAGUGGGAGCCCCACCACUAAGCCAGUGGUGAACUCCACAUACGCAUCCUUUGCUGAGGAUACGGUUAACGGAGCGAAAGCGACGUUCAACCGCAAAAGAAGCAGAGGGGGCUUAGUGGUGGGGUGACUGCGUACCUUUUGUAUAAUGGGUCAGCGACUUAUAUUCUGUAGCAAGGUUAACCGAAUAGGGGAGCCGUAGGGAAACCGAGUCUUAACCGGGCGUUAAGUUGCAGGGUAUAGACCCGAAACCCGGUGAUCUAGCCAUGGGCAGGUUGAAGGUUGGGUAACACUAACUGGAGGACCGAACCGACUAAUGUUGAAAAAUUAGCGGAUGACCUGUGGCUGGGGGUGAAAGGCCAAUCAAACCGGGAGAUAGCUGGUUCUCCCCGAAAGCUAUUUAGGUAGCGCCUCGUGAAUUCAUCUCCGGGGGUAGAGCACUGUUUCGGCUAGGGGGCCAUCCCGGCUUACCAACCCGAUGCAAACUGCGAAUACCGGAGAAUGUUAUCACGGGAGACACACGGCGGGUGCUAACGUCCGUCGUGAAGAGGGAAACAACCCAGACCGCCAGCUAAGGUCCCAAAGUCAUGGUUAAGUGGGAAACGAUGUGGGAAGGCCCAGACAGCCAGGAUGUUGGCUUAGAAGCAGCCAUCAUUUAAAGAAAGCGUAAUAGCUCACUGGUCGAGUCGGCCUGCGCGGAAGAUGUAACGGGGCUAAACCAUGCACCGAAGCUGCGGCAGCGACGCUGAUGCGUUGUUGGGUAGGGGAGCGUUCUGUAAGCCUGCGAAGGUGGCCUGUGAGGGUUGCUGGAGGUAUCAGAAGUGCGAAUGCUGACAUAAGUAACGAUAAAGCGGGUGAAAAGCCCGCUCGCCGGAAGACCAAGGGUUCCUGUCCAACGUUAAUCGGGGCAGGGUGAGUCGACCCCUAAGGCGAGGCCGAAAGGCGUAGUCGAUGGGAAACGGGUUAAUAUUCCCGUACUUGGUGUUACUGCGAAGGGGGGACGGAGAAGGCUAUGUUGGCCGGGCGACGGUUGUCCCGGUUUAAGCGUGUAGGUGUGUGUUCCAGGUAAAUCCGGUUCACUUUAACACUGAGGCGUGAUGACGAGGCACUACGGUGCUGAAGCAACAAAUGCCCUGCUUCCAGGAAAAGCCUCUAAGCAUCAGGUAACAUCAAAUCGUACCCCAAACCGACACAGGUGGUCAGGUAGAGAAUACCAAGGCGCUUGAGAGAACUCGGGUGAAGGAACUAGGCAAAAUGGUGCCGUAACUUCGGGAGAAGGCACGCUGACACGUAGGUGAAGUGAUUUACUCAUGGAGCUGAAGUCAGUCGAAGAUACCAGCUGGCUGCAACUGUUUAUUAAAAACACAGCACUGUGCAAACACGAAAGUGGACGUAUACGGUGUGACGCCUGCCCGGUGCCGGAAGGUUAAUUGAUGGGGUCAGCGCAAGCGAAGCUCCUGAUCGAAGCCCCGGUAAACGGCGGCCGUAACUAUAACGGUCCUAAGGUAGCGAAAUUCCUUGUCGGGUAAGUUCCGACCUGCACGAAUGGCGUAAUGAUGGCCAGGCUGUCUCCACCCGAGACUCAGUGAAAUUGAACUCGCUGUGAAGAUGCAGUGUACCCGCGGCAAGACGGAAAGACCCCGUGAACCUUUACUAUAGCUUGACACUGAACAUUGAGCCUUGAUGUGUAGGAUAGGUGGGAGGCUUUGAAGUGUGGACGCCAGUCUGCAUGGAGCCGACCUUGAAAUACCACCCUUUAAUGUUUGAUGUUCUAACGUGGACCCGUGAUCCGGGUUGCGGACAGUGUCUGGUGGGUAGUUUGACUGGGGCGGUCUCCUCCUAAAGAGUAACGGAGGAGCACGAAGGUUGGCUAAUCCUGGUCGGACAUCAGGAGGUUAGUGCAAUGGCAUAAGCCAGCUUGACUGCGAGCGUGACGGCGCGAGCAGGUGCGAAAGCAGGUCAUAGUGAUCCGGUGGUUCUGAAUGGAAGGGCCAUCGCUCAACGGAUAAAAGGUACUCCGGGGAUAACAGGCUGAUACCGCCCAAGAGUUCAUAUCGACGGCGGUGUUUGGCACCUCGAUGUCGGCUCAUCACAUCCUGGGGCUGAAGUAGGUCCCAAGGGUAUGGCUGUUCGCCAUUUAAAGUGGUACGCGAGCUGGGUUUAGAACGUCGUGAGACAGUUCGGUCCCUAUCUGCCGUGGGCGCUGGAGAACUGAGGGGGGCUGCUCCUAGUACGAGAGGACCGGAGUGGACGCAUCACUGGUGUUCGGGUUGUCAUGCCAAUGGCACUGCCCGGUAGCUAAAUGCGGAAGAGAUAAGUGCUGAAAGCAUCUAAGCACGAAACUUGCCCCGAGAUGAGUUCUCCCUGAGACUUUAGGUCUCCUGAAGGAACGUUGAAGACGACGACGUUGAUAGGCCGGGUGUGUAAGCGCAGCGAUGCGUUGAGCUAACCGGUACUAAUGAACCGUGAGGCUUAACCUU